GAAUAUUGGACAAUGGGGGCAACCCUGAUCCAGCCAUGCCGCGUGAGUGAGGAAGGCCUUCGGGUUGUAAAGCUCUUUCGACGGGGACGAUGAUGACGGUACCCGUAUAAGAAGCCCCGGCUAACUUCGUGCCAGCAGCCGCGGUAAUACGAAGGGGGCUAGCGUUGUUCGGAAUUACUGGGCGUAAAGCGCGCGUAGGCGGUGGUCCAUGUCAGAGGUGAAAGCCCGGAGCUCAACUCCGGAAUUGCCUUUGAAACGGGACCGCUUGAGUCCGAGAGAGGAUGGCGGAAUUCCUAGUGUAGAGGUGAAAUUCGUAGAUAUUAGGAAGAACAUCAGUGGCGAAGGCGGCCAUCUGGCUCGGUACUGACGCUCAGGCGCGAAAGCGUGGGGAGCAAACAGG
This 400-nucleotide ribosomal RNA is filed under the name uncultured bacterium. RNAcentral describes it as "bacterial SSU rRNA". It matches the Rfam family "Bacterial small subunit ribosomal RNA", at positions 359 to 776 of the family's 1533-position model. The record is from RNAcentral.